RNAcentral lists this ribosomal RNA (221 nucleotides) under Mantidactylus opiparis. RNAcentral's name for it is "partial 16S ribosomal RNA". It matches the Rfam family "Bacterial large subunit ribosomal RNA", at positions 1963 to 2286 of the family's 2925-position model. Lineage: Eukaryota; Metazoa; Chordata; Amphibia; Anura; Mantellidae. The record is from RNAcentral.
AAUCACUUGUUCUUUAAAUGAGGACUUGUAUCAACGGCACCACGAGGGUUAUACUGUCUCCUUUCUCUAAUCAGUGAAACUGAUCUCUCCGUGAAGAAGCGGGGAUACUCCUAUAAGACGAAAAGACCCCAUGGAGCUUCAAACCCAACUACACCCUUAACUACCACAACCGCACAACCUCUUAGGGCCCUGUAUAGUUGGUUUUAGGUUGGGGCGACCAC